This 228-nucleotide ribosomal RNA is filed under the name Triticum aestivum (bread wheat). Its description in RNAcentral is "partial small subunit ribosomal RNA". Lineage: Eukaryota; Viridiplantae; Streptophyta; Magnoliopsida; Poales; Poaceae. The record is from RNAcentral.
AUGAUUGCUAAAUGUUCUUGCAAGCUCUUUGAGUCCAAUGGCAUUGUGUGCCGCCAUGUUAUACGCGUCUUGAGGGGUGCAAAGAUAAAUGAGCUUUCAACCUUUUAUGUACUCAAAAGAUGGGAGAAAAUGUGCAAAAGUCAGCCUCCGUUGUUCCUCAAACUAUACAAGAAGAAGAAGAAGAAUCAUUCAUUGGUAGCACCAUGCCUGCCCAAGUUGAUAUCCUGA